Molecule: long non-coding RNA, 5031 nt
Filed under: Triticum aestivum (bread wheat)
Lineage: Eukaryota; Viridiplantae; Streptophyta; Magnoliopsida; Poales; Poaceae
Description: long non-coding RNA (TAES_LNC024462)
Source: RNAcentral
UUUUUUUUUUUGCUUCUAGAUCAUCAUUUCUUAGUUUUAGGUUUUCACAAGCCAAGAUGUAGAGUGUUAUGAAUUAAUUUCUGUCUGGUAGAAUUGCAUGAGGCUAUGUUAGUUAAGAAUGAAAGUGUGUCGUGUUACGGUGGAUGGUGGUGCUGUGCUUGGCCGCACUGCCCAGCAAACAUCCUGCAGCACACACCUCUUUGCUACCUUUGACAAGUGGAUUUGGUGAGCUUGCAAACUAGAAAUAAUUUUGCACAGAUCAAUGAAGCUCCCUGAAAUCGCUGGUGGUUGCGGACUGAUCUUCUCUGGGGCUAGCUAGUAUGUUGAUCUAUCACUCACCAAUGUCAAUGUGUUAUCUGUCAUCUAUUCAUCGUAGAUGAGCACAUCCACACACUACUGCCGCACAUGCACGCUGAUAUAUUGUAUGAAUCAACAAUUCAUCACACCUGGAGUGCAGACUGCAUAAAUACAGAAAAAUGUUCACCGUCAUUAUGUUGUAAACAAAACAAAAUUUUGUGUUGUUCUCACUAACCAAAAAGUUCAUAAUAGUAACUGAUUCUUGCCGCUAUAUAAAAUCAUAAUAAUGGAGCAAAAUGACAGAUAAAUCACUUGUUUGUUUCUCUAAGCCGUAGCUGGCUUCUUCUCCAAGCUUCCUGGAUUUGCCACCAGGUAGCAUGCAUCAGCCACAAAUUAGAAAAAGAAUCAAGCAAAAGAUGAGCACGGAAGAAGGAAGCAUGCUCUUAUUGGAGAGCCCUACCACCUCUAUGUGAGUGCCAUACACCUAGCGAUGAGGCCGCACAACCAUCCAUGCCUGAUGACGAGCCAGUGUGUUACUCGAGGACAAUGGCGAUGGGUGAGUAACCUAAGUCUUUGUCCAAAAGGUUAAUCCUGGAAUUCCGUCUGUCUUCUGGAUUUGGAGAAGUGCUGAUUUUCAUGGACGCAAAUCUUAUGAUAUGGUGGGAAUCUGUUAUGAUAAUCAUCUGUGCCUUAAACGUAUCCUAAUGCCUGAAAGUUGGAUACUGAUAUGUGUGAGCAGCAGUGGCUCCAUGGAUGGUUGCACCUGCCACUUAACAUAAGCGGCUGUCGCAAAUGUCCAUUUAGCUGUUCCAUGUGGGUUGGGGUGGGGGGUGGGGGGUGGGGGGAACUGCCCAUGGGCUGGCCACUGCCACUAGCAACCCUACUGGUAAUUGAUUUAAUUAUGUUUUAAGUAUUUAUCUUGUCAGUUGUUUUAAUAGUGAUAUAUAUGAAAUCUUUGAAUUGUCAUAUGCAAACACCAUUCCACGGCCAAUGCGAGUCAGAAGUAGAAUCAUUCUGUAAUCAUUGAUUUGAUGACAUCAAAUGAUUUAAGUGAUGAAUCCCUGUGACUGAGACCCUGAGUUUAGAGUGCAGACAAUCAAAUUAAUACUUUUUUUAAUGUUUCAACUACUGUACUACAUUCUCAUGAGUUAAACCAUGCAAUAUGUUCUGUAGGAACAAGCGACCAGAGUUCACCGCAUGGUUAUUAGAAGUCAAGCAGGUAUAUGUAUUUCUAUCGCUCUUUUGAUGUUGUCUUUCAUAGAAACAUGGAUAACUUAUGUGCAUGCAAAAAAAAAGGGUCAGGGUAAACAAGGUGUAUACCACUGUUUUACAUGGUGCUAGGCAAAUUAAUUAGCCCCAAAGGAAAUAUUUAUCUAGAAACGAGGAUUAGUGUUCUUUCAGUUGAGCUUAUUUAUUGUCUUCAGCAAAAAGUUUCAUCGUCGUGAAGUUUGUUGCUCGUUGGUCGGUGAGUGUUUGGAGCUUAAGUUACCUGACCUAAAAGUUAAGCAAAACACAAUAUUUGUUCUCCCUCCUUUUCUUUUGAUAUGCCCAAUUUAGAGUUUCUUCCAAUUUCUCUGCCCUAUUGGAUCUUAUUUUGGUUAAGCCCAAUUUCUCUUAUUCUAGUUCUGUUGUCACUUAUCAGGUCACAUAGAGCAGACAAAUGUUAUGUUACUUGAUUGGUACUGCUCAUUAGCUUAGUGUCAUGCUCUCAGGCUUUUUACUCUCAAUCUUGUUUAGUGUUUUUCUUGCUUAUGAUGUUACUGUUAAUUUUAGACUUUUCGGUAAUGCGCCCACAGGUUAAUUUGGAGGCACUGGCUAAUUGGGAAGAAAAACAAAUGUUCAAGGAGUAUGUUACUGUGCUGGCAUGAAAUUACUUGAGUUUCUGGAACUUCUAAAAAAUAUCACCCUGGAAUUACUAGAUGUUUAACAUACAUCUUUAUGUGCAUAUCAGAUUCAUGGAAGACCACAACACAGCUACGUUCCCAUCAAAAAAGUAAUGCAUGUUUCUUUUCAUAGACUGUUAGUGUAUAUAUUCCUAUAUUUGCUAAUGGAAUUUAUGUUUCUCCCCCUUUGUUCUCUUGUUAGAUAUUAUGACUUAGAUGCUUACCAUCAACGGAUGAUGGAGAAAGAGAAAAGGAAUGGUUUAAAGAAUGCGGGUUCGGUAGCAGUCCGUACAGUAUUUAAUGAUGAGGAAGUGCGACGGUAUGUGGACAUGCACAUAUUUUGGGUCUGUAUACCUGCAAUAACAAAGCAUGGGACACCAUAAAAUGCUUCAGUGUAAAUUACUGAAGUUUACUUUACCUGUAGACCUUUGGUAUUGAACUAUCAACCGACCUAUGUUCCACUCAUUUUGGGUAAUAGAAUGGUUUUUUUAACCAAUUACUAUGUCACAGUAACUCCAAAUUGUGAGCCUGUUAUGCCAUGCAAUGUUCCACAGAAAGACAAUUACGAAAAAAUUCUGUAUUAAUUGGUUUCAGAGUUUAUUACACCUUUUUUAUCAUUGGCUUACAGUUUUCUGUAAAAAAAUCAUGCAGGUUAGAACUGUUGCAAGAACGUGAACGCCGAAAGGAGGAAGAAGUGACAGCUCUAAAACGCUCCAUGCAAACUGGAAUGGUUAGAAUAUUGCAGUUUUUUUUUUCUGCUCCUAUUCUCAUCCUUCAGUUUAUCCUCUGAACUUGGAAUUAUUUUGAGAAUGCUCAUUGGCAGUGUCUUGUUUUUUCCAAUAUCUACGCUAAAAAGUGUCUCAUUGACAGCAUAGGUUUGACAGUGCAGGCUGCCCAAUUUUGUUGCAUUGUUAGCAUACAAGUUCUUUUAUGUAUCCUAGAUGUUGUUCAGUCUUCCAUGAAUGAAACGUAGUUGUGAAUUCUGUCUUGGGGCCGUACUUGCUCGGUUACUUGAUGCCAAGGGGCACUAAUUUAUGUUCAUAUUUCUGUUCUGUUGGGAACAUAUGUACUGUUGUGGGCUUGAACCUAUGAGGUUAUGACCUCAACCACUGCCAUGUGCUCGGCCAUUUAUGUUAUAUAUAGGUGCAUCUUCCUGUUUUUUGGAAUCUUCCCUUGUACAAUAGCUGGGAAUCCCCAAGUUUUGCUUUGUAAGGUUUACCUAAUCCAGUUUUUUGUUAGGUGUAUGCUAUUGAACGUAUGACUGCAAUUGUGCUUACAUCCUGCUAGGCUGUGCACUAUCUUCUGAUGAUACGAUCAGCAAUGGAUUAUUAUGCAGACACCAAGCAUUAGCAUGGGUUUACAUGAAAGUCACUUUUUGUUCUAUCAAUUAACCUAUUAUUAAUCUUGUUUUGCUCCCCAUGUCAGGCUCAAGCGAUGAAGCAGCAGUCCCUUCUACGUGAGGAAAUGAUGUUACAGUACAAGUUGGGCAAUUUCGAGGUAAUGCCCUCAUACCAACCCUUACAAAAAUUUCAGCUAGAUGGAAAACGCACGCUACUUAUGCCAAGUUUUUUUUAUCAGGCCGCAGCUGCAAUCCAGAAAAGGUUGGAUCCUGAUGCUCCCCCUCAAUAGGCGUCGACAUACCGUUUUCUCAGAAGUUAUUUCUCAUACAUCUUCAUGAGCAACAUACUGUGAUGUACCGCAGUUUAUUUGCACAAAAAGUAUACUGAGCUGGCUUGGAAAAUGCUGCUACUGUACCUGUACUGUAUAAUUUUGAAAAUUUUGCUCGUUAGUUUCAAGUUGUGCUGUAUGCAUCAGUUUGGUACAUUGAACUGUAAGAUUUUUCGAAGUUUUUCUACUCCAUAGGCAUCUCAUUGUUUUUUUUUAAUUCAUAUAGGCAUCUGAUUGUUUGUCGCUUGGUGUGGCAAGUCGUGUCAGUCUGUCAGUGACUCAUGAGUUGGGGCUUUCAAUGAUUCGUAGCUCGGCGCUUUAACCCUUAGGCUGUCAGCUUUUAUAUUUAAACUAAACUAUAUUCAUGUACGAGGGUAUGCGCGAGACUCUUGGCUUUUAGUGCUGCGGCAGCAUCGUUUCGCUUGUUUUAACGUUGUGCUAGGUAUGAAGAAUAUUGCAAUGCAAAAAAGCAACAGUGGCUUUUUAUCAUCGAAGUUUCGAGUCUUGCUUCAGAAAUGGUGUAACAGUGAAAGACGCUGUGAACGCCAGAUGAAAUACUGUUGGCAGGUCCGUUUCAAAAAAAAAAAACUGUUGGCAGGUAGCCAUAUUUUUUUCUACGAAACGGACAGAUAGCCAUAUUGAUCACCUCAUAACGUUGGGUGGAAAAAGACAAAAGCAUCUCAACUACACAUAUAUGAUCUUUUUUUUUGGAUCUAUCAGAAAUUCACAAUAAACUUGAGGCAAGGAAGAAGAACAAGGAGAAGGAAUAAUAAUAAUAUUAAACAAGGGAAUAUAAGAAGGCUAAAUAUAAGCCUAUACUGACAGGCGAUUCUUCACAUCAAAAGUUGACUCAAAAACAGAUCCAACAAACCAAAUCACAACCACAACCAGAGAAAAAAAAGAGAGCACAAGGCCAGACGGCUAUCCUAUCAGGCAGUACUACAUGAAGCAACUAGUGGACUGGAGCGAAGGGAAGCAGACGGCCGGGGUGAUGCGAUGGAUGGAUCGAUCAGCGCUUGAUGGCCUUGACCUUGUUCCACGUCUUCUUGCCGAAGUCGCCGACGACCCUGACGCCCUUGAGCACCGCCACCUUCACCUCCAUGGUCCGCUCCUUCACCUGCCGCUGGAACCCUCCCAUCUCUUCUCUCUUCUCUUCUUGGUCGGAGAGGAUUCCUGUGGCUCG